RNAcentral lists this ribosomal RNA (253 nucleotides) under uncultured bacterium. RNAcentral describes it as "partial 16S ribosomal RNA". It matches the Rfam family "Bacterial small subunit ribosomal RNA", at positions 524 to 776 of the family's 1533-position model. The record is from RNAcentral.
UACGUAGGGUGCAAGCGUUAAUCGGAAUUACUGGGCGUAAAGCGUGCGCAGGCGGUUAUGCAAGACAGAUGUGAAAUCCCCGGGCUUAACUUGGGAACUGCAUUUGUGACUGCAUGGCUAGAGUGCGGCAGAGGGGGAUGGAAUUCCGCGUGUAGCAGUGAAAUGCGUAGAUAUGCGGAGGAACACCGAUGGCGAAGGCAAUCCCCUGGGCCUGCACUGACGCUCAUGCACGAAAGCGUGGGGAGCAAACAGG